Molecule: ribosomal RNA, 274 nt
Filed under: uncultured bacterium
Lineage: Bacteria
Description: partial 16S ribosomal RNA
Rfam family: Bacterial small subunit ribosomal RNA
Source: RNAcentral
CUACGGAGGGGACUAGCGUUGUUCGGAAUUACUGGGCGUAAAGCGUACGUAGGCGGACUGAUCAGUUGGGGGUGAAAUCCCAGGGCUUAACCCUGGAACUGCCUUCAAUACUGUCAGUCUUGAGAUUGGAAGAGGUGAGUGGAAUUCCUAGUGUAGAGGUGAAAUUCAUAGAUAUUAGGAGGAACACCAGUGGCGAAGGCGGCUCACUGGUCCAAUACUGACGCUGAGGUACGAAAGCGUGGGGAGCAAACAGGAUUAGAAACCCCAGUAGUCC